RNAcentral lists this transfer RNA (65 nucleotides) under Cicadettana calliope. Its description in RNAcentral is "tRNA-Asn". The record is from RNAcentral. Lineage: Eukaryota; Metazoa; Arthropoda; Insecta; Hemiptera; Cicadidae.
UUAAAUGAAGCCAAAUUAGAGGCAUUUCAUUGUUAAUGAAAUAAUUGAAAAUCUUUCCAUUUAAA